RNAcentral lists this ribosomal RNA (500 nucleotides) under uncultured bacterium. RNAcentral describes it as "partial 16S ribosomal RNA". It matches the Rfam family "Bacterial small subunit ribosomal RNA", at positions 29 to 523 of the family's 1533-position model. The record is from RNAcentral.
AUUGAACGCUGGCGGCAUGCCUUACACAUGCAAAUCGAACGGCAGCGCGGGCUUCGGCCUGGCGGCGAGUGGCGGACGGGUGAGUAAUGCAUCGGAACGUGCCCUGGAGUGGGGGAUAACGUAGCGAAAGUUACGCUAAUACCGCAUACGUACUGAGGUAGAAAGCGGGGGAUCGAAAGACCUCGCGCUCAUGGAGCGGCCGAUGUCGGAUUAGCUAGUUGGUGAGGUAAAAGCUCACCAAGGCGACGAUCCGUAGCUGGUCUGAGAGGACGACCAGCCACACUGGGACUGAGACACGGCCCAGACUCCUACGGGAGGCAGCAGUGGAGAAUCUUGGACAAUGGGGGAAACCCUGAUUCAGCAAUGCCGCGUGUGGGAUGAAGGCCCUCGGGUUGUAAACCACUUUUGGCAGGAAAGAAAUCGCCUGUGCUAAUACCAUGGGCGGACGACGGUACCUGCAGAAUAAGCACCGGCUAACUACGUGCCAGCAGCCGCGGUAA